Amphiprion ocellaris (clown anemonefish) is the source of this 445-nucleotide long non-coding RNA. RefSeq lists it as uncharacterized. NCBI's taxonomy places the organism in Eukaryota, Metazoa, Chordata, Actinopteri, Pomacentridae. The transcript is spliced from 3 exons. The record is from RefSeq and is a predicted model, not a curated record.
AGUGUGUGCCUGGCCAGGAGCCCAAUGUUGAUCACACUCUUUGUAAUGAGUGUCCACCAGGCUUCUAUUCCACUGUGUGCACUAUUCAGUGUCUGCAGUGUCCAGCAGGAAGUUACUGUCCAGAUAGUGGGAUGUCACAGCCGCUCACCUGUCCUCCUGGCUGGUCUUCUACAGCUGGACAGACUUACUGUCGUAGCUGUAAUGAUACAUCGUUAUUGUGUGAGGGAGUCGUGGUCCCCCGCUGGAGCCCUUCAGUGCACAGAUCUAGUCAACCAAUCACCUGUCGACCAGGAACGUACAAAGACGUGAAAGAAGAUUCAGCUUGUGUGGUCUGUCCAAUAGGUCAUUACUGUGUGGGAGGUGUGGCUUUACCUUGUCCUGCUGGGACUUAUGGUCCUAAAGAAGGUCUGCAGAGACUGAGAGACUGCACAAUUUGUCCUGCAGG